CUAAAGUAAUGUAUUUCAGAGAGGAUGAAGCACAGAGAUGUAUCUAAAGUAAUGUAUUUCAGAGAGGAUGAAGCACAGUGAUGUAUCUAAAGUAAUGUAUUUCAGAGAGGAUGAAGCACAGUGACGUAUCUAAAGUAAUGUAUUUCAGAGGCUCCAGAUUGUUAGAAGGUGCCUUUAAUGAGUAUGUUAGAUAUAGAAUGUAGAUCUCUUUUGCAGCAUUUACAAUAUAUUUAGUUUUUCUAAAUUUUUAAUGAUGAUACACUUUUAUGCACAUGCAGGUGUAACUACUUAUUUACCCUAAAACACAAACUAAGCUAAUCUGAACAUUUAUUAAGAAUGAAUAUAGCCAUUUGUUACCAUGUAGCCUUCUAAUCUAUAAAUAGUGGUAAUUGUAGUAGUAGUAGUAGUAUAGUAGUAACAGUUGUUGUUGUUGUAAUAUUAGUAGUGGUAGUAAUAGUUGUAGUAGAUCAUUUGAGAAGAAUUUGGAAGAAUUUAAAGAAUUCAUAUGAAAAGAAGUAGUGGUGGUAGUAGUAGUAGUAGUUGUAGUUGUUAUAGUAGUAGUAAUAAUAGUGGUAGUAGUAGCAGAGGUAGUAGUAGUCAUAAGUGUAGUACUAGUAGUAAUAGUAGUUGUAGUAGUGGUAGUUUUACUAGUAGUAGUAAUAGUUGUAGUAGUAGUAGUAGUAUUAGUAGUUCUUGUAGUAGCUGUUGUUGUAGUUGUAGUAGUAGUAGAUCAUUGGAAGAAGUUGGAAGAAUUUAAAGAAUUCAUAUGCAAAGAAGAAGAUGAUGGAGAGCAGACUGUUCGGGGUUGGGAGAGAGAGGACUCAUCAGGGUUGAGAGAGAGGACUCAUCAGGGUUGGGAGAGAGGACUCAUCAGGGUUGAGAGAGAGGACUCAUCAGGGUUGGGAGAGUGGACUCAUCAGGGUUGGGAGAGAGAGGACUCAUCAGGAUUUGGAGAAAGGACUCAUCAGGGUUGAGAGAGAGGACUCAUCAUUAUUUGGAGACAGGACUCAUCAGGGUUGAGAGAGAGGACUCAUCAGGGUUGGGAGAGAGAGGACUCAUCAGGGUUUGGAGAGAGAGGACUCAUCAGGGUUGAGAGAGAGGACUCAUCAGGGUUGAGAGAGAGGACUCAUCAGAGUUGGGAGAGUGGACUCAUCAGGGUUGGGAAAGAGGAGAUUCAUUAGGUUUGGGAGAGAUAGGACUCUUCAGGGUUUGGAGAGAGAAGACUCAUUAGGGUUAGGCAGCAGGUGUACGCACUGCUCUCUUGAAAACCUCCUGGCCUCUGUUAUUGCAUCUUCCUAGGGCCAUGAAAGAGGGAAUAGAUGAGGGCCAAAAGGAGAGACACUGUUUGUGUUUCUUUUGAUUGAUCGCAUCCCUGUAACAAAAGGCAGAGAUUUUUAUUAAUUUUCCUGGCUGAUUAAUGAGGAUCCUGUUGUCUGAUGUGGGUCUGUAUUUUGCAUUAAUGGAGGUGGGGCAGCUAUUCGAAUAGCCGCGGGAAACCAGG
Molecule: long non-coding RNA, 1501 nt
Organism: Esox lucius (northern pike)
Lineage: Eukaryota; Metazoa; Chordata; Actinopteri; Esociformes; Esocidae
Source: Ensembl